CCGCCGGUGAAGGGGUGAAAGCUGGGGUAGCGAAGAGGAUUAGAUACCCUCGUAGUCCCAGCCGUAAACGGUGCACACUUGCUGUGGGCGGAUUCGACCCCGUCCGUGGCGAAGCUAACGCGAUAAGUGUGCCGCCUGGGGAGUACGGUCGCAAGAUUAAAACUCAAAGAAAUUGACGGGGGCCUGCACAAGCGGUGGAGUAUGUGGCUUAAUUCGAUGCAACGCGAAGAACCUUACCUGGCCUUGACAUGUAGUGGACCGGGUGCGAAAUCACCCUUUUCUUCGGAACUGCUACACAGGUGCUGCAUGGCUGUCGUCAGCUCGUGUCGUGAGAUGUUGGGUUAAGUCCCGCAACGAGCGCAACCCCCGUGUUCUGUUGCCACCCAGAUGUAAAUCUGGAGCACUCUGGACAGACUGCCUGGUUUCAACUAGGAGGAAGGUGGGGAUGACGUCAAGUCAGUAUGGCCCUUACGGCCAGGGCUGCACACGUACUACAAUGCCUGAUAUAAUGGGAAGCAAGACCGCGAGGUGGAGCAAAUCCUCAAAAUCAGGCCCAGUUCAGAUUGUAGGCUGCAACUCGCCUACAUGAAGGAGGAAUCGCUAGUAAUGCCGUAUCAGCUACGACGGCGUGAAUACGUUCCCAGGCCUUGCACACACCGCCCAA
RNAcentral lists this ribosomal RNA (664 nucleotides) under uncultured bacterium. RNAcentral's name for it is "bacterial SSU rRNA". It matches the Rfam family "Bacterial small subunit ribosomal RNA", at positions 740 to 1397 of the family's 1533-position model. The record is from RNAcentral.